Molecule: non-coding RNA, 286 nt
Organism: Schizosaccharomyces pombe (fission yeast)
Lineage: Eukaryota; Fungi; Ascomycota; Schizosaccharomycetes; Schizosaccharomycetales; Schizosaccharomycetaceae
Source: the annotation of a GenBank genome assembly
AUGUUGGAAAGGGCCCAUUUGUACAACAUGAACGUUACUAGAAUCAACUGAUGAUUUGGAAAUUAAGCCUUGUAAAAGUUCAUUAUAAACGUCUGCAAUGCAAGAACGCCUAUUUUUUAUCACAGAUAUUAUGACCUGCAACGUUUCUUGACUAACUUCGAGGUCUGGAUUUUGAAAUAGCUUAUACGCCUUUUCAAAAAAUUGUUUCUCAUAAGCUUUCAGUUUAGGACAGUCCAAUGUCAACGAAAAACGAAACACCGAAAGAGAUAAAAGCAUAUGAUUUGAA